AGCGAACGCUGGCGGUAGGCCUAACACAUGCAAGUCGAACGGCAGCACAGUAAGAGCUUGCUCUUACGGGUGGCGAGUGGCGGACGGGUGAGGAAUAUAUCGGAAUCUACUUUUUCGUGGGGGAUAACGUAGGGAAACCUACGCUAAUACCGCAUACGACCUACGGGUGAAAGCAGGGGAUCUUCGCACCUUGCGCGAUUGAAUGAGCCGAUGUUGGAUUAGCUAGUUGGCGGGGUAAAGGCCCACCAAGGCGACGAUCCGCAGCUGGACUGAGAGGAUGGUCGGCGACACUGGAACUGAGACACGGUCCAGACUCCUACGGGAGGCAGCAGUGGGGAAUAUUAGGCAAUGGGCGCGAACCUGAUCCAGCCAUACCGCGUGGGUGAAGGAGGCCUUCGGGUUGUAAAGCCCUUUUGUUGGGAAAGAAAAGCAGCAGGUUGAUACGCCGCUGUUCUGACGGUACCCAGAGAAUAAGCACCGGCUAACUUCGUG
Molecule: ribosomal RNA, 492 nt
Filed under: uncultured bacterium
Lineage: Bacteria
Description: partial 16S ribosomal RNA
Rfam family: Bacterial small subunit ribosomal RNA
Source: RNAcentral